UCACAAUUCAAAAUUUUUUUGUCACAAUUUGUUCAUCGAUCACAAGUAAAAAAUUUAUAAGUCAUGAUUUAUUGAUCAUAGAUUAACCAAUUUAAUGAUCACAAUCAACCAAAUCAUUUGUGACCACCACUCGUGACCGCCACCUCACAACUAGACCAACCGCAUCACUACCAAAAUCGCAGCCACCAGAACCACCACUGCACCCUAAUCCAACCCUAGCAAGCAAUAAUUGAAAUUACUAAUUAAAUACAAUAAUCAUAGAGACUGUAAUUUCAGUUUCUAUGAGCACCACUGCCACUUCAGUAGCCACGAUCACCAUCACCAUAUCCACCACGACCAUCGUCUCCAUAGCCACGGUCACGUCCACCUCCAUAGCCCCAGUCAUCGCCAUAACCUCCAUCACGUCGCCCAUAGCCUCCAUCACCGCCUCAACCCCCAUAACUUCACUCGGGAAGUCCGCCAUGGAAUCCACCAUUGCCGCCGGACUGAGCCUCGUUUACGUGAUUUUACGACCAUCAAGGUCUUGGCCAUUUAUCCCCUCAAUUUGCAGCACCCCAGAUCUACUGCGUUGCGCACGAGUACACUAUAUAUUUUUUAGUUUUCUUCCUCCACUGCCAUGGUAUCUGGUAGUUGCUAGAGAGAGAACGAGAGAAUGUAGAGGAUAGAGAGAGAGGAUUUUAGGGCUUGGGAGUGAAGUUGAGUGGUUGUGGGCGUGAGUGUGGGUGUGUUAAUUAGUUUAAAUUC
RNAcentral lists this long non-coding RNA (744 nucleotides) under Olea europaea subsp. europaea. Lineage: Eukaryota; Viridiplantae; Streptophyta; Magnoliopsida; Lamiales; Oleaceae. The record is from RNAcentral.